RNAcentral lists this ribosomal RNA (197 nucleotides) under uncultured Variovorax sp. RNAcentral describes it as "partial 16S ribosomal RNA". It matches the Rfam family "Bacterial small subunit ribosomal RNA", at positions 1184 to 1382 of the family's 1533-position model. Lineage: Bacteria; Pseudomonadati; Pseudomonadota; Betaproteobacteria; Burkholderiales; Comamonadaceae. The record is from RNAcentral.
GUCAAGUCCUCAUGGCCCUUAUAGUGGGGCUACACACGUCAUACAAUGGCUGGUACAAAGGGUUGCCAACCCGCAGGGGGAGCCAAUCCCAUAAAGCCAGUCGUAGUCCGGAUCGCAGUCUGCAACUCGACUGCGUGAAGUCGGAAUCGCUAGUAAUCGUGGAUCAGCAUGUCACGGUGAAUACGUUCCCGGGUCUU